This 2491-nucleotide long non-coding RNA is filed under the name Canis lupus familiaris (dog). Its description in RNAcentral is "lncRNA (ENSCAFG00000054097.1)". Lineage: Eukaryota; Metazoa; Chordata; Mammalia; Carnivora; Canidae. The record is from RNAcentral.
UUUAGCAGUAAGUUACCUUACCCUACUUUAUGUGAGAAAUAGGAUUGAUUUUUUCUUUUUUGCCUUUUUUAGAUGUCUUUGUUGAGAUUACUAUGCAUCUUUACUUUCUUUUUAUAGGAUAUAUUUUUUAAAUAUGGCAAAAGGUCUUAGAAAUAAAAUAAUGAGUUUGUAUUAAAUGAAACUGAAACCCAGGGUUCAUACAUUAUGUACCCAGGGUUAGUCAUGGCUUAUUUGUGGCCAAAUGCAGAGAUAAGGAUUCUGGUCUGUUCUGAUCCAGGGCCUCAGCAUGUCACCAUCACAUUACUUUAUAAACUUUUUAGCCAUGGAACGCAGAUUUCAGAUGAGAUUUCAGGUAACCCCUCCAAAGCAGAAAGAAAAGCAAAGCUCCUUUUGUUAGAGAUGGGGGCAUGGAGACAUGUCUACAUAGACUCCCUGAGAUUCUGCACUGGAAUGUACUUCUUCUCAGUAUAGUUCACAACACAGAUAAAAUGUGUGGCUGGCCCCUUUCUCAUUCCCAGCCAUGUCCUUAUUAGCACAACAAAGUAACCCUGGUCUGGUUCUACUUUUCCGGAGCAUUUCUGUGCCCUAUAUCUGAAAGAGAAUAUAAAUGGAAAAGUUGGGGGAUGCCUGGGUGGCUCAGUGGUUGAGCAUCUGCCUUCGGCUCAGGGUGAGUCCUGGAGUCCUGGGAUCCAGUCCCACAUUGGGCUCCCAGCAUGGAGCCUGCUUCUCCCUCUGCCUCUGUCUCUCCCUGCCUCUCCCCAUGUGUGUCUCUCAUGAAUGAAUAAAUAAAAUCUUUAAAAAAAAAAAAAAAAAGGAAAAGUUGGGAGAGGUGAGUUGAUCCAGUCUGGGAGUCAUAACAGUAAAGUUAACGUCACGUCUUCCCUGUUGACUCUGGAACAUUCUCACUCUGUGUCAAGAGGAAGCAGCACAGCAGAUCUGCCUAUGAGAGUCCACUGAUCUUGAGGUUGACUCCUUGGAUUAAGUGGGAGUGUGCUGUCACAUUUCCUUUAAUUUGCUGCAAGAAUUCAUCCUGAAGCCAUGUGCUCAUUUGCAGAUGUUUUCUUUCCUCAAAAAGUGGUAAAGUGACCUAUGGAAUUAGAACCACCAAAGUACCAAAUGCUAAGUAUCCACUAAGUGCUUAGUAGCUGGUGACUUUGGGCAAUUCACUUCACUUUACUGUGUUUGCUUAUAAAAUAUGGGUAGUAAUAAUAUCUAUCUCAUAGUUGUGAUGAAGAUUACAUAAUAUAAGUAAAGCAUUUGGAAUAGUGUUUGGCUGAUAGUAAAUACUAUUAUGAAUGUUAGCUGCAGCUCUUAUUCUUAAAUGUAGGUCAUAUAAAUUUUAAUCAUUAAUAGGAUACCGAUUCAAAAAAUUUUAAACACUUAAAUAUUCCAACCUAGUGUUAGCUAAAAUAUGAAUUAACUAAUUUUAUUGGCAGAGAGAAUCAAGCCUAAUAGUGGUAAAUCCCAGCUAGCUAGCUUUGCAUGAUCGUAAUGUUGAUAACAUUGUUUAAAGUGUAUAUUUGUAAAACUUUCCCCCCAAAAAAAGCUUUCUUAAAAUAAUACAAAGCCAAAAACAUAGUACAAAUUGGAUUGUUAAGGCCCUAGAGAAAUGUUCACUUUUACCUAAUCAUUAUGUAUGAUCUUAUUUUCAUAGGUAAGAAAAGCUGCACCAAGUGGUCAAACAACAUUUCCUAGAAAACUCCUUAACCAUUGAUACUUAAAUACAGUUUUCUGCUUGCACUUUGGUGAAAAUCUCUGCAGAGAAAGUCUGUUUACUUAGGCAAUUAUCUGCUGAAGAACAGGAAUGUCCCUGAUAAGUGCAUUUUUGUUUUUAGGAGUUGGUGCCACUUUCAGAAUAAAGUGGAGCCGUUUUCAGCUCCUGUAACAGUCAGGAUUCCAGAGCCUUUUCUUUAGAGUUAAGGUCUUCUUUACCUACUAGCACCUUUGUCUCUGUCUUUAUUACACCCAGAUAUUUGCUAAAUAAAUAAUUCACAUUUGAAAAGCUUUAUGGUUAUUACAUAUAAUGUUUAAAUAAAAUGCUGUGGGUUUUCUUAUCAUUGACAAACUUUGAACUAAAAUCUGAUGUUUCUAUAGAACACCAUUUAUGAUGAGUUUGCAUAAUAAUUGUGCAUGAACACAUAAGUCAAAAGGCCUAUGUGAAGAAUAGUAGCCAAACUGUGGAAAUAUUAGACCCAAAGAACCACAGGGGAAAGGUUAAUUGCUAAACAAGCCAGAAGUUAUAAAUUGGCAUUUGUUUUUAAAUGGGGACUUGGGGAGAGGAGAGAUGGCUUUGUAACCUCACUGGGCCAGGGUGUUGUAUUUGACAGUUCAUUUCUGAGUCCAGGAAUUAUAGCAAGAAAGGUUUCUUGGAGGAAAUGCCAUCAAAGCUCUGAGACAUGGCACAGGAGAGGCAGGUAGGUAAGCAAGAGGGUAGAGGUGAAAAGGAGGUUUAGGCUACUAAAAAACAAACAAACAAACAAAAAAACAAAAA